RNAcentral lists this ribosomal RNA (376 nucleotides) under uncultured bacterium. RNAcentral describes it as "bacterial SSU rRNA". It matches the Rfam family "Bacterial small subunit ribosomal RNA", at positions 521 to 896 of the family's 1533-position model. The record is from RNAcentral.
UAAUACGUAGGGGGCGAGCGUUGUCCGGAAUUACUGGGCGUAAAGGGCGCGUAGGCGGCCCGCUAAGUCCGUUGUGAAAGACCGAGGCUCAACCUCGGGGUGUCAACGGAGACUGGUGGGCUCGAGGGUCGGAGAGGAGCGGGGAAUCCCUGGUGUAGCGGUGGAAUGCGUAGAGAUCAGGGGGAACACCGAUGGCGAAGGCACCGCUCUGGCCGAAUCCUGACGCUGAGGCGCGAAAGCUGGGGGAGCGAACGGGAUUAGAUACCCCGGUAGUCCCAGCCGUAAACGAUGUCGACUAGGUGUGGGGGGAGUCACUCCCUCCGUGCCGCCGCUCACGCAUGAAGUCGACCGCCUGGGGAGUACGGCCGCAAGGUUG